Molecule: small nucleolar RNA, 262 nt
Filed under: Penicillium griseofulvum
Lineage: Eukaryota; Fungi; Ascomycota; Eurotiomycetes; Eurotiales; Aspergillaceae
Description: Small nucleolar RNA snR191
Rfam family: Small nucleolar RNA snR191
Source: Rfam by way of RNAcentral
UUCCAUCGCUAAGUCAAGGCCUCUUCCUGCGACUUCGGUCGUGCACGACUUUGGUUGUGCUUGUUUCAAUGGAAUUCCGUCUGUUACAGCUUUGGUAUAUUAACACUGGCCCGCACCGAAUUUCGUUAUGAACCUAGGUUGACUUGCUUUCGUCUUGAAAGCCUGUCGCAAGGGCCAGCUGUGUUUUGUUUUUGAGUAGAAGUCUGCUUCUGCCUUUUUGGUGGCAUUGUAGCAGAAUUUCUUAGUAACAUCCCACACAUUC